Molecule: unclassified non-coding RNA, 351 nt
Filed under: soil metagenome
Description: partial contains 5.8S ribosomal RNA, internal transcribed spacer 2, and large subunit ribosomal RNA
Rfam family: 5.8S ribosomal RNA (bases 1-120)
Source: RNAcentral
GAUGAAGAACGCAGCGAAAUGCGAUAAGUAAUGUGAAUUGCAGAAUUCAGUGAAUCAUCGAAUCUUUGAACGCACAUUGCGCCCGCCAGUAUUCUGGCGGGCAUGCCUGUUCGAGCGUCAUUACAACCCUCAGGCCCCCGGGCCUGGCGUUGGGGAUCGGCGGAGCCCCCCGUGGGCACACGCCGUCCCCCAAAUGCAGUGGCGGUCCCGCCGCAGCUUCCAUCGCGUAGUAGCUAACACCUCGCGACUGGAGAGCGGCGCGGCCACGCCGUAAAACACCCAACUUCUGAAUGUUGACCUCGGAUCAGGUAGGAAUACCCGCUGAACUUAAGCAUAUCAAUAAGCGGAGGA